RNAcentral lists this long non-coding RNA (613 nucleotides) under Pan troglodytes (chimpanzee). RNAcentral's name for it is "long non-coding RNA NONPTRT018462". The record is from RNAcentral. Lineage: Eukaryota; Metazoa; Chordata; Mammalia; Primates; Hominidae.
GACUUCUUAUGGAUGGGAGCUGAGUGAGUUUGAACCGCGUAGCAGCUAGGGCCAGGAGCCUAGUCGUGCCUGAGAUCUUGUACGCUGGGAUAGAGGGGUUGACUGUGUCUGAGGCCCCUGAGGGUAGUGACCUGGCGUCUGGGUGAACCUGAGAUUGCUGCUGGCUGGAUAGUCUGAGACCCACAGGUGCUGGGAACAUGCUGCUGGGUGGUCAAACAGAGAGUCUGUACGGUUAUAUGCACCCCAGGAGAGGCUGAGGUGUAAAAUGGGCUCCCCUGGUCUCCACAGAGCUUGGCAGAGCUGAGAGAUCAGCGGCAGGGGGAGCGCCUGGAACAUGCAGCAGCUUUGCGGGCCCUACAAGAUCAGGUAUCCAUCCAGAGUGCAGAUGCACAGGAACAAGUGGAAGGGCUUUUGGCUGAGAACAAUGCCUUGAGGACUAGCCUGGCUGCCCUGGAGCAGGUAAAGAACACCUGGGGGCCCUUGCUGAUCCCUCUCCAGUUCCCCCAUCUCCAUCUGCUUCUGGUCCACAUCAGGGUAGGGCGGUCUGGACCCCAUGCUGUUCUCCUGUUUCUGUUGCUCCUUUCUGUUGGAGUCCAGCCCUCUUCUCUCUGGC